This 816-nucleotide long non-coding RNA is filed under the name Dasypus novemcinctus (nine-banded armadillo). Its description in RNAcentral is "lncRNA (ENSDNOG00000050963.1)". The record is from RNAcentral. Lineage: Eukaryota; Metazoa; Chordata; Mammalia; Cingulata; Dasypodidae.
GCAAGGGUGGGAGAGCAAGCCGUUUACUUGGGUGCUGACCCCUGGGAGCCCCAGCAGGGGAGCGGGGCCGAUGGGGGUGACCGUCGGCGUCACCAGGCUGGUUGCUGUGUGGCCAGCUGGACUCGAGGGGACAGUGGGGGACACGCCGAGCAGCCUCUCGCGACCUGGCUGAGGCCAGGGUCUGGGUCGCGGGGCGCGGCGGGCACCGAGGGGCGCGGCGGCCACCGAGGGGCUGGGCGGCCACCGAGGGGCUGGACAGCUCUGCUCUGAUGAUGCGGUCGUGACUCCCACCGCGGGUCCCAGGGACGGCUCGAAGCUUUGGAGGCUGCGACGGUAAAGCAAGUCCCGGAGACGCCGAUGCGGCUCGUGCACCUGGAGUUUAUGUGGGGCUGUUCCCAGAGCCCAGGGACAAGAGGGGAGGGCCGCAGGGACGGACGGACGCUGGGGCUCAGUUUCCCCCGCAGACCUCUUGGGGCUCAGCCCCCCGCGGGCCGCUGGGGAGAGCUGGGGCUUUACCUCCCCAGGUGGGCGUUUACCACAGUGAUGCCAGGUCGCGGGUGGAGGCACGAGGGACGGAGGGACGGCCGUGUGGAGCGCGAAGGCCCCGUGCUGCCCGCGAGGGGCGAGGCCGGCAGGGGUCCGCAGGGAGGCACCCGGCGAGUGCGUCGACGAGGUGCUGAGAUGGAAGGUGGACGUGGCCAGUGUCUGGAGUCCUCGGCCUGUGACUGGGCACAGCUCCCACCAUCCACGCAGGUAAGAGCCCAGGUCCAACCCGGGGAAACAGCCCAGCUCUGACGGGAGACAAGUCAAAUAACU